GGUUAAGCGACUAAGCGUACACGGUGGAUGCCCUGGCAGUCAGAGGCGAUGAAGGACGUGCUAAUCUGCGAUAAGCGUCGGUAAGGUGAUAUGAACCGUUAUAACCGGCGAUUUCCGAAUGGGGAAACCCAGUGUGAUUCGUCACACUAUCAUUAACUGAAUCCAUAGGUUAAUGAGGCGAACCGGGGGAACUGAAACAUCUAAGUACCCCGAGGAAAAGAAAUCAACCGAGAUUCCCCCAGUAGCGGCGAGCGAACGGGGAGGAGCCCAGAGCCUGAAUCAGUGUGUGUGUUAGUGGAAGCGUCUGGAAAGGCGCGCGAUACAGGGUGACAGCCCCGUACACAAAAAUGCACAUGCUGUGAGCUCGAUGAGUAGGGCGGGACACGUGGUAUCCUGUCUGAAUAUGGGGGGACCAUCCUCCAAGGCUAAAUACUCCUGACUGACCGAUAGUGAACCAGUACCGUGAGGGAAAGGCGAAAAGAACCCCGGCGAGGGGAGUGAAAAAGAACCUGAAACCGUGUACGUACAAGCAGUGGGAGCACGCUUAGGCGUGUGACUGCGUACCUUUUGUAUAAUGGGUCAGCGACUUAUAUUCUGUAGCAAGGUUAACCGAAUAGGGGAGCCGAAGGGAAACCGAGUCUUAACUGGGCGUUAAGUUGCAGGGUAUAGACCCGAAACCCGGUGAUCUAGCCAUGGGCAGGUUGAAGGUUGGGUAACACUAACUGGAGGACCGAACCGACUAAUGUUGAAAAAUUAGCGGAUGACUUGUGGCUGGGGGUGAAAGGCCAAUCAAACCGGGAGAUAGCUGGUUCUCCCCGAAAGCUAUUUAGGUAGCGCCUCGUGAAUUCAUCUCCGGGGGUAGAGCACUGUUUCGGCAAGGGGGUCAUCCCGACUUACCAACCCGAUGCAAACUGCGAAUACCGGAGAAUGUUAUCACGGGAGACACACGGCGGGUGCUAACGUCCGUCGUGAAGAGGGAAACAACCCAGACCGCCAGCUAAGGUCCCAAAGUCAUGGUUAAGUGGGAAACGAUGUGGGAAGGCCCAGACAGCCAGGAUGUUGGCUUAGAAGCAGCCAUCAUUUAAAGAAAGCGUAAUAGCUCACUGGUCGAGUCGGCCUGCGCGGAAGAUGUAACGGGGCUAAACCAUGCACCGAAGCUGCGGCAGCGACGCUUAUGCGUUGUUGGGUAGGGGAGCGUUCUGUAAGCCUGUGAAGGUGUGCUGUGAGGCAUGCUGGAGGUAUCAGAAGUGCGAAUGCUGACAUAAGUAACGAUAAAGCGGGUGAAAAGCCCGCUCGCCGGAAGACCAAGGGUUCCUGUCCAACGUUAAUCGGGGCAGGGUGAGUCGACCCCUAAGGCGAGGCCGAAAGGCGUAGUCGAUGGGAAACAGGUUAAUAUUCCUGUACUUGGUGUUACUGCGAAGGGGGGACGGAGAAGGCUAUGUUGGCCGGGCGACGGUUGUCCCGGUUUAAGCGUGUAGGCUGGUUUUCCAGGCAAAUCCGGAAAAUCAAGGCUGAGGCGUGAUGACGAGGCACUACGGUGCUGAAGCAACAAAUGCCCUGCUUCCAGGAAAAGCCUCUAAGCAUCAGGUAACAUCAAAUCGUACCCCAAACCGACACAGGUGGUCAGGUAGAGAAUACCAAGGCGCUUGAGAGAACUCGGGUGAAGGAACUAGGCAAAAUGGUGCCGUAACUUCGGGAGAAGGCACGCUGAUAUGUAGGUGAAGUCCCUCGCGGAUGGAGCUGAAAUCAGUCGAAGAUACCAGCUGGCUGCAACUGUUUAUUAAAAACACAGCACUGUGCAAACACGAAAGUGGACGUAUACGGUGUGACGCCUGCCCGGUGCCGGAAGGUUAAUUGAUGGGGUCAGCGCAAGCGAAGCUCUUGAUCGAAGCCCCGGUAAACGGCGGCCGUAACUAUAACGGUCCUAAGGUAGCGAAAUUCCUUGUCGGGUAAGUUCCGACCUGCACGAAUGGCGUAAUGAUGGCCAGGCUGUCUCCACCCGAGACUCAGUGAAAUUGAACUCGCUGUGAAGAUGCAGUGUACCCGCGGCAAGACGGAAAGACCCCGUGAACCUUUACUAUAGCUUGACACUGAACAUUGAGCCUUGAUGUGUAGGAUAGGUGGGAGGCUUUGAAGUGUGGACGCCAGUCUGCAUGGAGCCGACCUUGAAAUACCACCCUUUAAUGUUUGAUGUUCUAACGUUGACCCGUAAUCCGGGUUGCGGACAGUGUCUGGUGGGUAGUUUGACUGGGGCGGUCUCCUCCUAAAGAGUAACGGAGGAGCACGAAGGUUGGCUAAUCCUGGUCGGACAUCAGGAGGUUAGUGCAAUGGCAUAAGCCAGCUUGACUGCGAGCGUGACGGCGCGAGCAGGUGCGAAAGCAGGUCAUAGUGAUCCGGUGGUUCUGAAUGGAAGGGCCAUCGCUCAACGGAUAAAAGGUACUCCGGGGAUAACAGGCUGAUACCGCCCAAGAGUUCAUAUCGACGGCGGUGUUUGGCACCUCGAUGUCGGCUCAUCACAUCCUGGGGCUGAAGUAGGUCCCAAGGGUAUGGCUGUUCGCCAUUUAAAGUGGUACGCGAGCUGGGUUUAGAACGUCGUGAGACAGUUCGGUCCCUAUCUGCCGUGGGCGCUGGAGAACUGAGGGGGGCUGCUCCUAGUACGAGAGGACCGGAGUGGACGCAUCACUGGUGUUCGGGUUGUCAUGCCAAUGGCACUGCCCGGUAGCUAAAUGCGGAAGAGAUAAGUGCUGAAAGCAUCUAAGCACGAAACUUGCCCCGAGAUGAGUUCUCCCUGACCCUUUAAGGGUCCUGAAGGAACGUUGAAGACGACGACGUUGAUAGGCCGGGUGUGUAAGCGCAGCGAUGCGUUGAGCUAACCGGUACUAAUGAACCGUGAGGCUUAACCUU
This 2904-nucleotide ribosomal RNA is filed under the name Escherichia coli. RNAcentral's name for it is "23S ribosomal RNA". It matches the Rfam family "Bacterial large subunit ribosomal RNA". Lineage: Bacteria; Pseudomonadati; Pseudomonadota; Gammaproteobacteria; Enterobacterales; Enterobacteriaceae. The record is from RNAcentral.